UCCAUAGCAUAAGAAAUUAUUUGAAAUUUGUGUAAGCGCGAUGCUAAGUGAUUCCUCAACCAGUAAUUCUUUGAUUAUAUUAUCAAUAAUCAUCAAACAAUGCGAGAAUAGACAUCAUAAGCUAAUUUUCCAUUAGCUAAAUUACCACUCAUGCAAUCUUCGACAAGGCCUCCGAUCACACUCUUCUUCCCGAGCGUAAGAAGCGUAUCAGCUCAGACCGUCGCAGCGAAGUCGGCGAACCACACCACGACGGGGGUGCUGCACAAAAGGAGGCCCGCCGGGACCAUCCACAGCUGCUCGUUGUUGGGGUGAUACACGAGAGCCCACCGCGCCAGCAGCGCGCCUCCGAGGGUGCUGAUGACGAGGAGACACGUACGAGACAACGCCGACAUCUUCCCCCCCGGGGGUGGGGGUUUUCUCCUGCUCCAUCUCCUUUCCUCCAUGGAGAUGGAGGAGAUUCUUAUAAUUUUUUUAUCUAAUGUGAGGUUCCCUAGUUUCUCAUCUAUGCAUGGUCUAUGAAGGCGGCAGAGGUGAGGUUGAGCAGGAGCCUGCACCCGAAGGUUCACUUGAUUACCUAAUGACCGAAGACUAAAUCUAUUAUCGUAGCUAGAAUGGCGUACGUAGUAUACAGAAUGACAUGCUAACGCAGGAGAUCACGUUAGCUG
This 665-nucleotide long non-coding RNA is filed under the name Phoenix dactylifera (date palm). RNAcentral's name for it is "long non-coding RNA (PDAC_LNC000501)". The record is from RNAcentral. Lineage: Eukaryota; Viridiplantae; Streptophyta; Magnoliopsida; Arecales; Arecaceae.